UGGGGAAUAUUGCACAAUGGGCGCAAGCCUGAUGCAGCCAUGCCGCGUGUAUGAAGAAGGCCUUCGGGUUGUAAAGUACUUUCAGCGGGGAGGAAGGCGAUAAGGUUAAUAACCUUGUCGAUUGACGUUACCCGCAGAAGAAGCACCGGCUAACUCCGUGCCAGCAGCCGCGGUAAUACGGAGGGUGCAAGCGUUAGUCGGAAUUACUGGGCGUAAAGCGCACGCAGGCGGUCUGUCAAGUCGGAUGUGAAAUCCCCGGGCUCAACCUGGGAACUGCAUUCGAAACUGGCAGGCUAGAGUCUUGUAGAGGGGGGUAGAAUUCCAGGUGUAGCGGUGAAAUGCGUAGAGAUCUGGAGGAAUACCGGUGGCGAAGGCGGCCCCCUGGACAAAGACUGACGCUCAGGUGCGAAAGCGUGGGGAGCAAACA
RNAcentral lists this ribosomal RNA (427 nucleotides) under uncultured bacterium. RNAcentral describes it as "partial 16S ribosomal RNA". It matches the Rfam family "Bacterial small subunit ribosomal RNA", at positions 355 to 774 of the family's 1533-position model. The record is from RNAcentral.